This 2844-nucleotide long non-coding RNA is filed under the name Anas zonorhyncha (Eastern spot-billed duck). RNAcentral describes it as "lncRNA (ENSAZOG00000018150.1)". Lineage: Eukaryota; Metazoa; Chordata; Aves; Anseriformes; Anatidae. The record is from RNAcentral.
CCCUAGCACACGUCUGCCAAAUCAAAUGGUUGGCUUGCUGUGAAACUCAACCUUAAGACUUUAAGUGGGAAGUGGUCCAGCAAUAGAGCAGGUCAAAAAUCCCACUUGGCUUAGAUUCCUCUUUCUCGGUUCAAGAUUUCUGACAGUAAAAACACCAUUUUUAGUGGUGACUGUGUGAACUUUUAGCACACGGCCUCUUCGGAGAGCACUGCAUAUUCUGCUCACAUUGAAUUGAGCUAAUCUCAACUUGAAACAGAUUUUUGUAAAAGAAGGCUUGUAGGAGCCUUUUUUGAUGCAUUAAGGAUGCCAGCAAGAGGUUUUUAUUCAUCUUUUUUUUUUUUUUUUUUCGUUUAAACUGUGCCAACCCUGGUCUUUGCAGGUGGUGCUUCAAGAGUUGAUGGGAGCUUUAUGAGCAAGACAUAAAGUGCUGUCUCUUAACUCGUGGAUAGUAGUCUGCGAGUGCUGAAAGCUCAGAGUUUGCAAUAGCAGUACUGACAUGCUGUAUGCAGAAGCUGGCCUUUUGACUCCAUGAGGAUAUUGAAGAUGUUCUGCAAUCCCAACUCUUGUUGGUAUUAGCUUACUGAAUUUAUGUCAGAUAGCCUGGCUGGAUCCCAGCUUGCAUCUAUUCUUCCACUCUUGGUCCUGGAGGGAUCCCAAAGCAUGUGAUGAUGGUUUUGCAGCUCCUGGGAGAAACGGAGCUCCCUGCGGAGAGGCUGCCUAGACUGGCAUCAAUGGCUAUCAGAAUCCUUCCAAAGCCAAGAGACUUCUUCUGGACUUCAGAGGCUCGGCGCUGUUUUGUUCUUGUUUAUGGCUCUGGUGCCAAAGUAAAUCGAGGGGCUGAUAAACACUGCGCACCCUGCCAUGCUCUGUCAAUGGACGUCUUCCUUGGAAUUAGGUGGCUAAACAACAUAAAAGUAUUUUCAUUCUGCUUUAUGCUCUCAUCUGUCUCCUAAACAAUUAUUUUCAGAUUUAUGCUGGAACAUGAACUCAGUAGGACUUAUUUUGCUUUCCUGCUUUUCCAUCCCACUGAUAAGCUGCCACGCCAGCCCAUGUGCGGAGUUUCUCACCAGCACUGUGCUCAUGUGCUCGGCUUGCAGCCUUCCCUCGUGUGGAAAUCUGCUCCGUUCAGAAACGCAGAGUUAUUUAAGGGGAGCUUUCACAGUAGCCAUUUGAUGUUCAGCCUUUUCGGGUGUCUGGACCCUAAUUAGAGAAGGGAAUUACAGAGCAGGAAGUUGGCAGGACUCAAAACUGUGGGUUCACCCCAAGGCUACGAUCUUCUGGGUUGCUGCUGCAUCUGCACAGUGAUUAGCAGCUCCUGUGCCCCCUGAUUUACUAGAAUACAAUAGAAGCCUUCUAAUUGUCUGUUAAUCAGAGUUAAUUGCUCACUAGGAAGGAGCUCAGGCCUAUCUAGCUGGUAGAAAAGAGAGCUGAAAGCUCCUGGGUGAAGGCUGGAAGCCCUGAGGCAGGCCCCUGGAAGAGCUGCCCUGCUCCUCCAGCACCCGGGCCAGGCCUAACCCAGCUCACUGAGCCCCAUGUUCUUGUUUAUGGCUCUGGGGCUGUCCUUUGGCCUGUCUUGCCCCUUGUCAGCACCCCAGUGGCCACAAGUCCGCGUUUUUCUCCCUGGUACCAAUUCUGCAGGGCAGAAUAGCCGCGUGGUGCUGGGGCAGAGGCCCUGCAGCCACCACAGCACGGACUUCUCCUGCCCGUGGCCCAAGGGGACAGCAGCCCUUGCCCCGCUCUAUUAGCACCGGUAACAGGUCUCAUUCAUUCUCAUUCUCAAUUUCUCAUGAGAAAUUCCCCCAGAUUAGUUUUCCUUGCAAAAAUUUCAGGGCGGCAUCACCUUGAGGCUUCACAAGUAAUGUGGAGGGAAUGAGAGGCUGGAGGGAGACAGAGCGAGCUCGGUUAGGUGGUGAGAAGGGAGGACGGACGUGUGUCCAGCAGAUGAAUUUCACAAAGCGAUUGCAAAGAGGAGUAGAACUGGGCUGUGACUCCCUCUGGAAGAGAAAGGGAAAGCCCCCGGCUGAACCUGCGGCCUGAUAGCAAGAGCUGGCUCUGCCCUGGCUCAGGAUAAAUGCAUGGGGUCGGGGGAUUGGCGCUUGUGGGUUUGUUGUUGUAGGGUGGAAUGCGAGCAAUUUCUUGGCACUUAUUUUCCACAGGAUAUUAGCAUUAUAAAGGGAGUUGCUGAGAAGCAAUACUUAAGAUACGGCUGCUGUUGGCUCCGUUCUCCAUGGGUUUUGAGUCUGCUCUGUCCUUUUCCAGUGAGCAUAGCCAGAGGAACAUUUGAUUACUCCACACUUUUUACAUACAAAGCACCCAAAAACCUCUGAGGAAGAAGAGGCCAGAGCAGACAGGAUAAUGUCUUCAUUCAGCACAGCAAAACCUCUUCUUCCUCAUGCCCUUCCUCCCAGCCCCUGCCAGGCCCAGGCUGCAGGAGGCAAGUCCUGGUGCAACGUGCUCUGCAGGAGGUGUGCGACCUGCAGCCUGCAGGGAAGGGUCUCCUGGCAAGGACUAAACAGCAGAUUGAUGCUUUCGAUCCUUUCCUGACAUGUAUGAAGAGGUCCCCAAAGGGUCUUUGUGUUUGUUCGGGCUCUAACUUGCUUUAGGUAUUUAAGGUCUCGGCAGCCUAAUGAGCCUGGGGUAUCCAGGGAAUGCAGGGAUGGACAGAGAAUCAAUGGGGGGACGGUAAAUGAGUGGGAACAAUUUGAACGUGCCCCUCCUCUCACUUGGCUCCUCAAAGCUGUGGGGCUUUGCUGUUUGGGAGGUCUUUGUCUUUCUUACAGCAAGGAGAGUUUGGCUUCCCCACCCCACUUCACCCCUCACCACCCCCCUUUUUCAGGCUCCGUG